Molecule: long non-coding RNA, 2472 nt
Filed under: Homo sapiens (human)
Lineage: Eukaryota; Metazoa; Chordata; Mammalia; Primates; Hominidae
Description: HSALNT0376650
Source: RNAcentral
UGAUCUCGAACUUCUUGGCUCAAGUGAUCUGCCUGCCUUCCAAAGUGCUGGGAUUACAGGCAUGAGCCACCAAGCGCAGCCAUGAUUUAUUAGAUCACUUCUAAAAGCCCUCUCUCCAUCUCCAAGCCAGCAAGUGCUUCUUUGCACCCCAGCUCUAAAACAAAGCCCUUGGGGACACAAUCAAAGACAGUAGUUGCCAAGAGGAAUAGGGAGCAUGGAAAGAAGAAAUCAACUCUAAGGAAAGAAGUAGGCAGGAAACCUGUUGAAAGAAAAUGAAAGCAUUAUAUUUCAGCAAUUACUUAAAUCCUGCAAGAAGAUCAUGUUUGAUGGACACUGAAACUGGACAUUGUAGAAGAUGAAUUAUGAGAGUGAUUUAUGAAAGAAAGACAGUGGAGAAUUGCAAUCGAUGGAGACAUUCAAAGAAAAGACUUUGGCACUACAUCAAAAGAGAGUAGAAUAAAUGACGAAACUAAAGCACAAAGAGAUUAAAGAACUUAUCCAAGGUCAUGCAGCUGGAAAGAAGUGGAUUUGGGAUUGUGAACAUCACAAUUUCACAAACUACAUUUCAUGAUGGGUAGAGCUAGUCAAACGUCUGAAAAUAAAGUUUGGUUUAAAGAUGACCAUCGUCUUGUUAAGAAAUUAUAUAAAUGAGUAUCACUAAAAAGUCUCUCUUUAAACUCACCAAGCACUCUUCACUAUGGACAAGAAAGUGUGAAUAUGGUUAUUUUUUAUUUAAUAUUUUCAUGAUGAUUAACUGAAGGAUCUGACAGUAAAUAGUCUUUGGGUCUUUUUAAACUAAAACUCCUGUUGUUGUUGAUAGCAAUUGAUGCAAUUGAUAGUAAUGUGCUGUAUCCCUCAGAUGUAUUCCAGCUGAAGAAGGUGGAGAGCCACUAAAAUUUAUUGUUCUAUGUCAUUUUUCCAAAUCAUCUUUUGAUGACUGUCCAUCUACAUAUUGCUCAGUGGCUUUAUAUUUAGAACAUUAUUUGGGAAAUUGUAAUUUCAAAUAUUUUAACCUAUAAAUAUUCAAUGAAGCCUUGGCAAUGAAGAGUAAGACUUUAUAAAACCUUGAAUAUAUGAAUAGCACAGUUCUGGUUAUCUAUGUAACAACAUCCCCCAUAGUAACCUAAAACAAUGACAUUACUAUAUCCCAUGAUUCUGUGGAUUGCCUGGGCUUAGGUGGUAAGUUCUCAGGGUGUUGCUCAUUGUCACACCCAGAUAGCAGCUAGAACUAGAGUCAUCUGCAAACUCCUUUUUCUUGUGUGGACCAUCCAAGGUAGGUUUCUCAUGCACAUAUCUAGUGCUUUGGUGCUUCUUGGCCUCUCUCUUUCCACAUUGUAUCUCAUCUUCCUGGCCUCUCCACAUGGCUUGGGCUUCUUGUUGCAUGGUGUUACGAGGUACUCACACUGCUAACACAGUAGCUGACUUUCAAGAUACACAAAUUGGACCCUUUUAGACCAAUUAAGGGCUAUGGUGAAACUGGAGCAGUAUCACUCUCAUUGUAUUCUAUUGGCCAAAGUAGCAGAGGGCCUGAUCAGACCCAAAGAGGUAGAGAAAUAGAUUCUACUUCUCAAUGGGGGAGUACCAAGUUCAUAUUGCACAAGGGGAUGUAGAAUGGGAACUAUUGUUGUUAUCAUUAGGUAAUACAGUCUGCCUAAAGUACUAUAUCACCUAAUUAGACUUGCUUUGCACAUGAUGACCAGGAGGAAACAAGAUACUGUUUUGGAAUGUACUCACUAAGCAGCUGCCUAGAUGCUGCUUACCUAACAAGUGCCUUGUUUCCACUCAAGGUCAUGGAUCUUUGGGAGUCUAAUAAGAGUGAUGAAAAAUUAUUCAUAGGUCUCCUUCCUUUACUAUACAAUCCUCGCUGCUAAGAGAAAGAUGGGCAAAGGACCUGGGAUGGAUAUCUUUGUGAAUCUAUCAAUAAUGGAUAAAAUAUCUCAUUUGUCUGCUUUCCUUAUUAUCUAAUUCUUCCCUCUUAGAGGAGUCUGAGCAAAGGAGCCUAGACUGGGUGUAUGGUGGAGAGUCAGUAACUAGGAGUAGAAUCUAAAUCAAAUCAAUAGUGUCCUAGUUAACCAAAUCAAAGAGUAAAUGUACAGAAACACAGGAAACCAUGCAGGGUAAUCAAGACUAAAAUUCUGGGUUAUAAGGAACAGCCUAAAACAAUUCUGAGUUGCAAAAUAAAUGGCACCAAUAAUCUUAUACUAAAUUUCAGAAUGUUAGGAUAGGCCUUAUUCUGCUUAAGAUCAGAAUUGGUUCAAGAUACUGGGUUGGAGUUGAACUAGAAGGUUGUAGGUUGGUAGCCCCAGCUAGAAGGAGAGGCCUAGGAGGAUGCCAAGGAGUAAUUGGUAAGUUGCAAAUGUUGAGUUCCUACCAUGGACUUCUGCAGCAAUUGGUGACUGAUUUGUUAGAUGUUGCAGAGAGACUCAAAACAACUAUCAAUCAUCCUGUUAAUUAAAAAUAUUCAUUGGAUUU